AGCUUUCUGUAUCUGUGCUGAGAUUUCGUCAGACACCAGACCACAAGAGCUGAUGAUAUUCUCAAGAUAAGUGAAGCG
Schistosoma haematobium is the source of this 78-nucleotide non-coding RNA. The record is from Rfam. NCBI's taxonomy places the organism in Eukaryota, Metazoa, Platyhelminthes, Trematoda, Strigeidida, Schistosomatidae.